UGUUCAUGAUAUAAACAUGUUCCCUUGGUGCAGAUCUUGACGGUAGUAGAAAAUAUUCAAAUGAGAACUUUGAAGAGUGAAGUGGAGAAAUGUUCCAUGUGAACAUCACUUGGACAUUACUGGUUAGUCAAUCCUAAGAGAUGGGGAAUCCUUGUAUCAAAGGUGCACUCUGCAUGAACAUCAAAAGAGAAUUGGGUUAAUAUUCCCGAACCGGGACAUGGUGGUGGACGAUAAUGUUAGGAAAUCUGGAGAUGUCAUCGGGGGCCUGGGAAGAAUUAUCUUUUAUUUUUAAUGCAUUUGACUCAUAACCACUACAAUUUUUAUAAUCCCAAACUCCUAAACCCUUGAAAAUUUAACCCUAAUAUUUAACCCUUAUAACCCCAAAUAUGUACAUUAACUAUUACAUCUAUCCAUUAUUAGUACUAUUC
This is a non-coding RNA of Picea glauca (white spruce), 428 nucleotides long. NCBI's taxonomy places the organism in Eukaryota, Viridiplantae, Streptophyta, Pinopsida, Pinales, Pinaceae. The record is from Rfam.